ACGGAGGAUGCGAGCGUUAUCCGGAUUUAUUAGGUUUAAAGGGUGCGCAGGCGGUCUUUUAAGUCAGUGGUGAAAGUUUGCAGCUCAACUGUAAAAUUGCCAUUGAAACUGGAAGACUUGAAUAUAGUAGAGGUAGGCGGAAUGUGUAGUGUAGCGGUGAAAUGCUUAGAUAUUACACAGAACACCGAUUGCGAAGGCAGCUUACUAUGCUAUUAUUGACGCUGAGGCACGAAAGCGUGGGGAGCGAACAGG
This 252-nucleotide ribosomal RNA is filed under the name uncultured bacterium. Its description in RNAcentral is "partial 16S ribosomal RNA". It matches the Rfam family "Bacterial small subunit ribosomal RNA", at positions 525 to 776 of the family's 1533-position model. The record is from RNAcentral.